UACGUAGGGACCGAGCGUUGUCCGGAAUCAUUGGGCGUAAAGAGCGUGUAGGCGGCCCGGUAAGUCCGCUGUGAAAGUCCAGGGCUCAACCCUGGAAUGCCGGUGGAAACUGUCGGGCUAGAGUCCGGAAGAGGCGAGUGGAAUUCCUGGUGUAGCGGUGAAAUGCGCAGAUAUCAGGAGGAACACCAAUGGCGAAGGCAGCUCGCUGGGACGGUACUGACGCUGAGACGCGAAAGCGUGGGGAGCAAACAGG
Molecule: ribosomal RNA, 253 nt
Filed under: uncultured bacterium
Lineage: Bacteria
Description: partial 16S ribosomal RNA
Rfam family: Bacterial small subunit ribosomal RNA
Source: RNAcentral